UACGUAGGUGGCAAGCGUUGUCCGGAUUUACUGGGCGUAAAGGAUGCGUAGGCGGAUAUUUAAGUCAGAUGUGAAAUACCCGGGCUCAACUUGGGUGCUGCAUUUGAAACUGAAUAUCUAGAGUGCGGGAGAGGUAAGUGGAAUUCCUAGUGUAGCGGUGAAAUGCGUAGAGAUUAGGAAGAACACCAGUGGCGAAGGCGACUUACUGGACCGUAACUGACGCUGAGGCAUGAAAGCGUGGGGAGCAAACAGGAUUAGAAACCCCAGUAGUCC
RNAcentral lists this ribosomal RNA (273 nucleotides) under uncultured bacterium. RNAcentral describes it as "partial 16S ribosomal RNA". It matches the Rfam family "Bacterial small subunit ribosomal RNA", at positions 524 to 796 of the family's 1533-position model. The record is from RNAcentral.